CCCUUAGAUGUCCGGGGCCGCACGCGCGCUACACUGAAGGAAUCAGCGUGGCUUUCUCCCUGACCCGAAAGGGUUGGGAAACCCGUUGAAUCUCCUUCGUGAUAGGGAUUGGGGCUUGAAAUUGUUCCCCAUGAACGAGGAAUUCCCAGUAAGCGCGAGUCAUAAGCUCGCGUCGAUUACGUCCCUGCCCUUUGUACACACCGCCCGUCGCUACUACCGAUUGAACGGUUUAGUGAGGGCCUCGGAUUGGUCUCGGCCCGCUCUUUACCGGGCGGCGCCGUUGGUCGAGAAGACGCUCGAACUUGAUCGUUUAGAGGAAGUAAAAGUCGUAACA
RNAcentral lists this ribosomal RNA (334 nucleotides) under uncultured eukaryote. RNAcentral describes it as "partial 18S ribosomal RNA". It matches the Rfam family "Eukaryotic small subunit ribosomal RNA", at positions 1470 to 1796 of the family's 1831-position model. The record is from RNAcentral.